RNAcentral lists this transfer RNA (76 nucleotides) under Verrucomicrobia bacterium CG1_02_43_26. Its description in RNAcentral is "tRNA-Thr". It matches the Rfam family "tRNA". Rfam says of the family: Transfer RNA (tRNA) molecules are approximately 80 nucleotides in length. Their secondary structure includes four short double-helical elements and three loops (D, anti-codon, and T loops). RNAcentral also lists the same sequence under 4 other names. Lineage: Bacteria; Pseudomonadati; Verrucomicrobiota. The record is from RNAcentral.
GCCGGCUUAGCUCAGUUGGUAGAGCACCCGCCUUGUAAGCGGACGGUCGUCAGUUCGAGUCUGACAGCCGGCUCCA